This is a non-coding RNA of Podarcis lilfordi (Lilford's wall lizard), 70 nucleotides long. The record is from the annotation of a GenBank genome assembly. NCBI's taxonomy places the organism in Eukaryota, Metazoa, Chordata, Lepidosauria, Squamata, Lacertidae.
GCCAUAGCUCAGUUGGCAGAGCAUCUACUGUACAUGCAGAAGGUGCCAGAUUCAAUCCCUGGUAGGACUG